This is a long non-coding RNA of Limulus polyphemus (Atlantic horseshoe crab), 280 nucleotides long. RefSeq lists it as uncharacterized. The transcript is spliced from 2 exons. Lineage: Eukaryota; Metazoa; Arthropoda; Merostomata; Xiphosura; Limulidae. The record is from RefSeq and is a predicted model, not a curated record.
AAGACACCAAAAGAAAUGGUCAUCGUCCUAUGCCGUUCCAGAAAAUUUAAAUGGCACAAGAAGGCUUUUAGAUUGCGGCUUCCCUUCCAUCAAAAUAAAGGACUUGUUCUGGUGUGUCCACUUCUCAUCCUUCGACGUAACGUGCUGAUGAGUCAUUUAUGCCCUCUGCCUAACCUUAGCUUUGAACUCGAGGAUUUCCCGUAAUCUGAGCCGGAAGGUAGAGAAGGUGAAGAUAAGAACAUGAACGAGUUUUCUUUGUAAGGUAUAUGAACUUAAACUG